AAAGCGGAAGAAGAAACUAUGCAUUAUUGGGUGAAAGCUUGUCCCUCUAAUUUCUCUAUAACUCUUCCUAAACCUCGCAGACAUUCAUCUCUUUCUCUCUCUACGAAUUAUCUUCAAUUUUUUUUACAAUCAUUUUCAUGGAUUACUCCUGUGGGGUUUUAGUGGCCACUCCUCUGUUAACAUCAGAAAUUCGAAGAUCGUCGUGUUUGGUGGCCUCGUCGACAGGAAAUUUAUAAGCGAUAUCGCCGUUUUAUGACUUCGGUUUUGGUGCAUUUGAAAGUUGAUUUUGGCUCAAUCCUUAUCCCAUCUAUUUGAAGGUUGAUUUUGGCUCAAUGCUGAAGUAGGAAAGACUAAGAAUGGAACGUUAUCUUUAUUUCCUCUCUCAAAGGCUUCUGCGGCUCAUAAAUCUGUUCUUGCUGGUGAUUUAAAAAUGGCCAACUUCAAAUAAUUUCUUGCCAACAAGGGAAUAUAGGUACCUUUGCUUAUGGACCCCUAUGAAAGAAAACAAAUAUCUCCUUUUGAUAUGUGUAUGAACUAAAAUCUGCAAUUUAGUAAGAAAAGCAAACGAUAUUGCCGUCCUAUAUGCAUUGUAGGUUGAAUUUGCUGGGGGUGCUUUGAGAUGUGGCGAGUAUGUCACCCUGCGCAAGGGUACAAAUGCAAGUCAAAAGGGUGGUGGUUCUGGUACACAACAAGUUGUCAUUGAAGGGCCCUUAUGUGAGGAUUAUUAUAAAAUUCAGGAUCUAUUGUAUUCACAAUUUUAUUUGUUAUAAUUGAGAAACCUCGUUGAACAUGGAAGAUAUGACCCCAUCAAUUUGAAUUGCCUAGUUGGAAAUGUAUUGAUUUUUUUCUC
Molecule: long non-coding RNA, 850 nt
Organism: Cucumis melo (muskmelon)
Lineage: Eukaryota; Viridiplantae; Streptophyta; Magnoliopsida; Cucurbitales; Cucurbitaceae
Exons: 3
Source: RefSeq, a predicted model, not a curated record